RNAcentral lists this non-coding RNA (185 nucleotides) under Clostridiales bacterium. Its description in RNAcentral is "6S RNA". It matches the Rfam family "6S / SsrS RNA". Rfam says of the family: E. coli 6S RNA was the first non coding RNA to be sequenced, but its function was unknown until recently. It consists of 184 nucleotides that fold into an extended hairpin structure with a large single-stranded internal bulge. The record is from RNAcentral. Lineage: Bacteria; Bacillati; Bacillota; Clostridia; Eubacteriales.
GGGUCCCUGCUAUGUUCGUGAUAGGUCUUUUUAAACCCACAUUUAUAAUAAGGGACGCCGGACUCUUGCUGUGAAUUGCAGGCCUCCCCAUAGCGGACGUUGGAAGCAGAGAAGCAACAAGGAGGCGACCCACCUGCCGAUUGUGCAGGUUAUAAAUGGGCUUACACGGCAUUGGCGGGGAAACU